UACGGAGGGAGCUAGCGUUGUUCGGAAUUACUGGGCGUAAAGCGCACGUAGGCGGCUACUCAAGUCGGGGGUGAAAGCCCGGGGCUCAACCCCGGAACUGCCCUCGAAACUAGGUAGCUAGAAUCUUGGAGAGGUCAGUGGAAUUCCGAGUGUAGAGGUGAAAUUCGUAGAUAUUCGGAAGAACACCAGUGGCGAAGGCGACUGACUGGACAAGUACUGACGCUGAGGUGCGAAAGCGUGGGGAGCAAACAGG
RNAcentral lists this ribosomal RNA (253 nucleotides) under uncultured bacterium. Its description in RNAcentral is "partial 16S ribosomal RNA". It matches the Rfam family "Bacterial small subunit ribosomal RNA", at positions 524 to 776 of the family's 1533-position model. The record is from RNAcentral.